CUACUGUACUGAUGUUGCAGAGUUCGCUUGCAGCCGAUUAGAGAAUGAGACAGGGUGGUUUGUAAUGAAUGGCGAUUCGACGAUGUCGGUUCAACGUGUUAUUUUUGCAAGAUACAUCAAUGUGCUCCUUAACAACCCCAACCGGUGAAUCACACCGUUUCAACUUCCAUCCAGCAUUACGAUCAUACAGAGAAUUAUAACUUCAGAUUUCUGAGCUUCAUGAGAAGAUCCAGCGAAUGCAGUUCGUUGAAGAACAUCGGCACAAGGUUCCAGAAUAGGAGUGCGUUCUUGGUACAUGCUCGGUGUAGAACGUAUCAAUGAAUUCAUCGUGCCUGAUCGAGUGUAAUGCAAUUGACGGUUCAAAGUUGUAAUGAACCUCCCUCUUUUGUAAUAUACUUUUAUGCAGGAUUUUGGUUAGGAUUUUCUCCUGCUGCAAAGUUGCAUUUUUGUUGUAGUUUUUUCAAUUCUGGCCUUUUUGUAAUGUGUAAUGGAUGUAUUGGUUUUGGAUAUGGCUUCCUCUUGUUUGAUGUAUCAUGAUCUUUUUAUGAACAUUUGAUGUUCAGGUUGCUUUAUGUACAGUACCAAUGUGUAGGCCCGAGAUCUUCUGGAACUGAAUGUGACUGGCUAGCAUGAGCAUUGUUUA
Molecule: long non-coding RNA, 643 nt
Organism: Vicia villosa (hairy vetch)
Lineage: Eukaryota; Viridiplantae; Streptophyta; Magnoliopsida; Fabales; Fabaceae
Exons: 2
Source: RefSeq, a predicted model, not a curated record